GGUGCACUACUUCUGCACUGUGUUCAACCAUUCAGUCAAUAAUAAGUGCUGCUGUGAAGAGAACAAUUCUCAGACUGAAUGUUGAACAUCAGCUAGUUUCUCCUGUUGAUUUAAACCUUGUUGUAGAGAUGGAACAUUGGCUGUGGAUUAUUAUUGCUGCUCUUUUCUUUGAGUGUAAAGGAGAAGACAGCGUGAACCAGCCAACAGGAGAUGUCAUUGCUACUGAAGGAGAGACAGCUACUCUUGGCUGUACAUUUGAGACUGCUUCAUAUCCUUAUUUGUUCUGGUACAAACAAGAAGUAAAUGGCUUUCUAAAGUAUAUAGUACACGUCUCCUCUGGAGCAAAAGAUGCUGAAGACUUUCAGAAAGAAAGAAUUUAUGCUACAGUCAACAAGACAUCAGUUCCUCUGAAGAUCCAGAAGCUUCAGCUGUCUGACUCUGCUGUGUACUACUGUGUUCUGCAGCCCACAGUGACAGGAAAC
Non-coding RNA from Perca flavescens (yellow perch), 482 nucleotides. The record is from the annotation of a RefSeq genome assembly. NCBI's taxonomy places the organism in Eukaryota, Metazoa, Chordata, Actinopteri, Perciformes, Percidae.